Molecule: long non-coding RNA, 1110 nt
Filed under: Nicotiana tabacum (common tobacco)
Lineage: Eukaryota; Viridiplantae; Streptophyta; Magnoliopsida; Solanales; Solanaceae
Description: long non-coding RNA (NTAB_LNC015230)
Source: RNAcentral
GAGAAGCUAACAAUUAAAAGAGUUGUACUUUUAGUACCUGAGGCUGCUUAGAUCACUUGAAUUAGAGAUAUCAGUGAGAGGAACGUGGAAAGCUUCGGACCAAGAAAGUUGUUGAAGGCAAGUAGCUGAAGGAGUUCCCCAACGGUAACUUCCUUUGGAGAAUUUGUGAUUCUUUUCAUUCAUUUUCUCAUGGAAUGGCUUCUUGAAAAGCUUGAUUUGUUCCAUUCUCAUUUUUGUCAAUAUAUCAUGUGAAAUCCCAUGGUUGACCACUUGGAAAAAACCCCAUUCUUGUGAAGCUUUAGCUAUCUUUCUCUUGCAUUCUUCCAUCUCAAAAUCUCCUCCAUAUAAUAGUUCAAGAUCUAUCAAUGGCAACUCGCAUUCCUCUACAACAAAGAGGUUGUGGUAAUUAAUGUUUGAGGCCUUUGCAAUUCUUAUGUCGUCAAAAAGUUUCUUGUAUGUCUCCUCAAAAGGAGGAUCAGGCGAUUCUCCCAUACCUAAUUUCUGAAAAAGAAAAGGAUGAUAGAUGUUCGUUAAGAGCACACCAUAUUUGUUAAAUACAGUCAAAGUACAAUCUCAAUUUUUCUGGAUUUUUUUUUUGACUAUUAUAGCGAAAUGCUAUUUUAAAGAACUAAAAAUUGGUUCUAUAAAGAAUUGACUUUGAUAAUGAAUAGUCAUUAUAUAGCGAUACAGUUAUACAAAAGUGCAUUCACUUUUGUUAAUCGGCAAAUAUUAGGGACCAAAAAGAAAAAAAAAGGGAGUAGAGAAGAAGAAGAAGAGGAGGUUUUCCCCCCUUUUCUCUUUAUUUUCCUGCUUCUGUGAACUUACUUCUGAUUCAAUAUCUUUUUAGGUCAUGGCCGGUUUCUAUGACAGUGGAGACAAAAAAGAUACCUGUCCUCUACGUAGGAAGGAGGACGAUGAGGGAGCAGGAAAUUAACCUUGUGCAAUGAGCAGCGAACAACAGGGACCCAUUUAAUUACAUAUCAAAAUUAAAGUAGGCAUGUUUCUAAAAAAUCGGUUAAUAUUCAAGCACAUAUGAGUAUUGAUUUACAUGGUUUUCCACGACACCUAUGUAUACAAACAGAGGCGAACUCAGAAUUUUUACGUGACGGG